GGUGGCUCAGUUGGUAGAGUGCUUGCCUUGCAUGCAUGAGGCCCUGGGUUUGAUUCCUCAGCACCA
Molecule: transfer RNA, 66 nt
Filed under: Dipodomys ordii (Ord's kangaroo rat)
Lineage: Eukaryota; Metazoa; Chordata; Mammalia; Rodentia; Heteromyidae
Rfam family: tRNA
About the family: Transfer RNA (tRNA) molecules are approximately 80 nucleotides in length. Their secondary structure includes four short double-helical elements and three loops (D, anti-codon, and T loops).
Source: Rfam by way of RNAcentral